Molecule: ribosomal RNA, 492 nt
Filed under: uncultured bacterium
Lineage: Bacteria
Description: partial 16S ribosomal RNA
Rfam family: Bacterial small subunit ribosomal RNA
Source: RNAcentral
AGUGAACGCUGGCGGUAGGCCUAACACAUGCAAGUCGAACGGCAGCACAGUAAGAGCUUGCUCUUACGGGUGGCGAGUGGCGGACGGGUGAGGAAUACAUCGGAAUCUACUUUUUCGUGGGGGAUAACGUAGGGAAACUUACGCUAAUACCGCAUACGACCUACGGGUGAAAGCAGGGGAUCUUCGGACCUUGCGCGAUUGAAUGAGCCGAUGUCGGAUUAGCUAGUUGGCGGGGUAAAGGCCCACCAAGGCGACGAUCCGUAGCUGGUCUGAGAGGAUGAUCAGCCACCCUGGAACUGAGACACGGUCCAGACUCCUACGGGAGGCAGCAGUGGGGAAUAUUGGACAAAGGGCGCAAGCCUGAUCCAGCCAUACCGCGUGGGUGAAGAAGGCCUUCGGGUUGUAAAGCCCUUUUGUUGGGAAAGAAAAGCAGCAGGUUAAUACCCCGCUGUUCUGACGGUACCCAAAGAAUAAGCACCGGCUAACUUCGUG